GACGAACGCUGGCGGCGCGCCUAACACAUGCAAGUCGAACGAGCGAGAGAGAGCUUGCUUUCUCGAGCGAGUGGCGAACGGGUGAGUAACGCGUGAGGAACCUGCCUCAAAGAGGGGGACAACAGUUGGAAACGACUGCUAAUACCGCAUAAGCCCACGGCUCGGCAUCGAGCAGGGGGAAAAGGAGCAAUCCGCUUUGAGAUGGCCUCGCGUCCGAUUAGCUAGUUGGUGGGGUAACGGCCCACCAAGGCGACGAUCGGUAGCCGGACUGAGAGGUUGAACGGCAACAUUGGGACUGAGACACGGCCCAGACUCCUACGGGAGGCAGCAGUGGGGAAUAUUGCACAAUGGGGGAAACCCUGAUGCAGCGACGCCGCGUGGAGGAAGAAGGUCUUCGGAUUGUAAACUCCUGUUGUUGGGGAAGAUAAUGACGGUACCCAACAAGGAAGUGACGGCUAACUACGUG
Molecule: ribosomal RNA, 466 nt
Filed under: uncultured bacterium
Lineage: Bacteria
Description: partial 16S ribosomal RNA
Rfam family: Bacterial small subunit ribosomal RNA
Source: RNAcentral